Molecule: ribosomal RNA, 484 nt
Filed under: uncultured bacterium
Lineage: Bacteria
Description: partial 16S ribosomal RNA
Rfam family: Bacterial small subunit ribosomal RNA
Source: RNAcentral
AUUGAACGCUGGCGGCAGGCCUAACACAUGCAAGUCGAGCGGAUGAAGGGAGCUUGCUCCUGGAUUCAGCGGCGGACGGGUGAGUAAUGCCUAGGAAUCUGCCUGGUAGUGGGGGAUAACGUCCGGAAACGGGCGCUAAUACCGCAUACGUCCUGAGGGAGAAAGUGGGGGAUCUUCGGACCUCACGCUAUCAGAUGAGCCUAGGUCGGAUUAGCUAGUUGGUGGGGUAAAGGCCUACCAAGGCGACGAUCCGUAACUGGUCUGAGAGGAUGAUCAGCCACACUGGAACUGAGACACGGCCCAGACUCCUACGGGAGGCAGCAGUGGGGAAUAUUGGACAAUGGGCGAAAGCCUGAUCCAGCCAUGCCGCGUGUGUGAAGAAGGUCUUCGGAUUGUAAAGCACUUUAAGUUGGGAGGAAGGGCAGUAAGUUAAUACCUUGCUGUUUUGACGUUACCAACAGAAUAAGCACCGGCUAACUUCGUG